UACGGAGGGUGCGAGCGUUAAUCGGAAUUACUGGGCGUAAAGAGCACGUAGGCGGCCAGAUAAGUCAGAUGUGAAAGCCCAGGGCUCAACCCUGGAAGUGCAUUUGAAACUGUCUGGCUUGAGUGCGGGAGAGGAAAGCGGAAUUCCCAGUGUAGAGGUGAAAUUCGUAGAUAUUGGGAGGAACACCGGUGGCGAAGGCGGCUUUCUGGACCGACACUGACGCUGAGGCGCGAAAGCGUGGGGAGCAAACAGG
Molecule: ribosomal RNA, 253 nt
Filed under: uncultured bacterium
Lineage: Bacteria
Description: partial 16S ribosomal RNA
Rfam family: Bacterial small subunit ribosomal RNA
Source: RNAcentral